AAUAACAGCUCUCCCUCCACUGUUUUUCUUUGCAAUAACUCAGUAUAUAGUAUGAGGACUGCUGGUUCACACCAAGGGCUCAUUUAUAAGGAUAUCCUCUAGCUUCCAAUUUGCAUCCACAUUACGUUACCUUAGAGUUAAAAACCCCAACAACAUUGAAAAGGGUAAUCAAAGAUAAUUGCAUAGAACAAUAAAUACCAGUGAAACCAUAUUAACUCAGUAAAGCAUCAAAAAGAGAGAGAGCAGAAAGGAAAAAAUAAAUCUGACAUGAUAAAACCCAGUGAAAUUAAGUAAACACCCCCCCCCCCCCAAAAAAAAAAAACCUGGCAGAAGCUCUAAGGGAUUGUUUAAGCACUGAAAUGUACUUUAAAAAUAAAAGCAUCCAAUACAGUUUCCCUGUGUAACACACCUGGCUGUAUAUUGCAAACAGGGUGCCAAAUUCAGUAAACUUCAGUGUUAGGCAGGCUUUGCACCCACAAAAAUCAUGAAACACUCUCUAUAGCAUUAAUGAGAACAAAACUAGGCCAUGUAAGUAUAUUCUGAUUUUUCUGUAAGGCAAAAUAUUACUGCAUUCCAUUUUCUAGUCUGCAUUUCUGUCAGCUGACAGUAUGCCUGCACGAUUAAGAUAUAAAGCUAAUAAAUGUUUUAAUUCGAAUAUUAUUACAAACUAGAGAGAAGUCAGAUAAAACCAGAGAUUUUUUAUUGCACAAAAUAAAUUAUAUAGAAACAAUGCAACAAAACAACUCGUAUUGUAGGCUGCACAACAGAUGUUACAACAUGAAUAUAUUUAUUGCUUUGAGAAAGGAGCAAUUCAGUGCUAGUAAGCAGAUUAGUUAUACUUCUUGCUCAUCUAGAUUUUUCAUAAAAUUAAUCCAGCUGGGCUAGAGGCAUCUUGCAGCAUAUCGGUCAGAUCAAAUUGUCACUUGUUUUCCACUGUUACAAAGGUGCUGUGAACAUUCUUGACAUUAGCAUGGAUCAAUUUCAUGUCACCAGUACUGAGCCAUACAGGUAGUUACAUAUUUAGAACCGUCAUUACAUAUCAGUAUAGUUAUGUUCAAAACAAAAGGUCCAUUUACACAGUUUGCAUGAGCCGUUGUUCUAAAAUAAAUCUUGCUUGCAAAUGUUGAUGCAGCUUUGAACAGGCACACUUCACUCUACAUCAAGAGGCAGGACACCCCUGACUAUCAGCACUUCCCUUACCUAAUUGCAAAACUGCUCACUGAUGUUAACUCAGUAAUAGGUGUCUCAUUUUUUCCAGGGCCACACUCAGCUUCUAAGGACUGUAGCACGGACUAAAAAAAAAACAAAACAACGUCAUUCCUUUGGUAGAACAGGGUCAGGCUGAAGAGCUUAACUCUAGUGUCAGGCCCAUGGAGCAGACCCCUGUAGAAUCCCACUGAAAUAAGUAAACACAUUUUGGAUUGUAUAAUAAUAACUACAAACAAAUGUGGUGGCUACUUUUUACUGUAUUUCAAGAAAAUUCUUUGCUUUAA
Molecule: long non-coding RNA, 1493 nt
Organism: Pezoporus occidentalis (night parrot)
Lineage: Eukaryota; Metazoa; Chordata; Aves; Psittaciformes; Psittacidae
Exons: 2
Source: RefSeq, a predicted model, not a curated record